Small nuclear RNA from Hydra vulgaris (swiftwater hydra), 152 nucleotides. RefSeq annotates it as U12 minor spliceosomal RNA. NCBI's taxonomy places the organism in Eukaryota, Metazoa, Cnidaria, Hydrozoa, Anthoathecata, Hydridae. The record is from RefSeq and is a predicted model, not a curated record.
UAGCCUUAAACUUAUGAGUAAGGAAAAUAAAAACCUGGGUGACGCUGGGUUAUACGUAAAUUACUCUUACGAUAGAUUUUUGAAGGGUGGCAGGCUGCCCAUGAGCUCGAAUCGCCUACUUUAGCGAAUCGCUUGUGUUGCUGCGGCCUCCG